AUCUAAAUAGCUUAUAUAAUAUAGCGUGGCACUGAAGAUGCUAAGGAAACCUCAGGUUUUUAGAUA
This 66-nucleotide transfer RNA is filed under the name Mylabris calida. RNAcentral describes it as "tRNA-Phe". The record is from RNAcentral. RNAcentral also lists the same sequence under 1 other name. Lineage: Eukaryota; Metazoa; Arthropoda; Insecta; Coleoptera; Meloidae.